RNAcentral lists this small nuclear RNA (57 nucleotides) under Astyanax mexicanus (Mexican tetra). RNAcentral describes it as "U7 small nuclear RNA (ENSAMXG00005006183.1)". It matches the Rfam family "U7 small nuclear RNA". From Rfam's summary of the family: Animal histone pre-mRNAs are spliced by a different mechanism than nuclear pre-mRNAs and self-splicing introns. This processing involves the U7 snRNP, which contains only one RNA species: U7. Lineage: Eukaryota; Metazoa; Chordata; Actinopteri; Characiformes; Acestrorhamphidae. The record is from RNAcentral.
AGGAAUUUUUACUCUUUUAGUAUUUUUCUAGGAGGUCUUCAUGUAAUGAAGACCCAC